UGCUAAUGUUGUUAUGGUGUCAUGGAUUGAAACAAACAAGAAUUAUUUCCAAGAAAUGCAUGUUUAUUUACAUCGUACGUAAGGGGUACGGUCAGAUGUUGAACUGAUAAAUGAGGAGCUACAAUAAGAGGUUGUAGAUAAAUGGAGUCUGAUUAUCACAGGGGCAGGUAAAUACAAAUAACAACAACAAUGCAAUUUGGUUCACGUGGGUUUCAGUCAUUGACAACCCGAUAUUCUGAUUUAAAAUAUUAUUUAUUUUGCCAGAAUAUUGUAGACGAAUUUUAUGCAUUCUUUGGGGUAGCCAUUAUUCAUAAUUGUAAAUCUCUAUUAAAUUCUACAUUGCAACGCAUCCCAAUUAGGUUUGCUUAAUUUUAAGUUAAACUGUGCAACGAACCCCUUAUUCAAUGUCGCAUCUGCGCCCACAUAAAAUAUGUUAUGAUGGCAGACACCGUGGUAGAUAUCUGGAAAUUUUCUUAUAAAUAAAACAUUGAAACCUUAUCACAAUAUCAGUAUUCUUACAAUAUCGAUCAUAAUCAUAAAUGACUAUGAAAAUUUUGGGAGUAAUUGUUAUACUAAUAUUGGCUUACGCUAAAAAUGCAUUUGGCAAUACCCGCUUAUGUGGUGCAAAAUUGGAUAUGGCCCUAUUGGAUGUAUGUGGCCAGACGGGAUUCAAUACAAGACUGAAGAAAUCAAACGUUUCACCGGAUAUCAUGGAAGUUCUAAAUCCCAUGGCAACUUUAAGCGAUGUAUUUCGGAGUCAAGAAGAAAAUUUUCUGGCGAAAAUUCGUAGACGCCGACAGGGCAUUGUCGAUGAAUGUUGCAGAUUGAAAGGUUGUACGUACAGCGAAUUGAGUCAAUAUUGCAGUAGUAGUCAGCUGUGAAGUUAAAUCAAUCAUGAAAUUAUAAUAAACGAAACUAAGUGAGAGGUCAUGGUCCUUUGCCAAUUUUUUCUAAUUAAUAUUGAAUCCCAAAAAAAAAAUGGUAUACAUUCUACAAGUAUGUUGUAAAAAAUUAAAUAAUUCUAUAAGAUUUAA
Musca domestica (house fly) is the source of this 1034-nucleotide RNA transcript. RefSeq lists it as uncharacterized. The transcript has 2 exons. The record is from RefSeq and is a predicted model, not a curated record. NCBI's taxonomy places the organism in Eukaryota, Metazoa, Arthropoda, Insecta, Diptera, Muscidae.